This 226-nucleotide ribosomal RNA is filed under the name uncultured bacterium. RNAcentral's name for it is "partial 16S ribosomal RNA". It matches the Rfam family "Bacterial small subunit ribosomal RNA", at positions 522 to 743 of the family's 1533-position model. The record is from RNAcentral.
UACGGGUAGGGGGCGAGCGUUGUCCGGAUUAUUGGAGCGUAAAGAGCUCGUAGGCGGUCUGUCGACGUCUGCUGUGAAAACUCGGGGCUUAACCCCCGGGCCUGCAGUGGGUACGGGCAGACUAGAGUGCGGUAGGGGAGACUGGAAUUCCUGGUGUAGCGGUGAAAUGCGCAGAUAUCAGGAGGAACACCGAUGGCGAAGGCAGGUCUCUGGGCCAACUGACUGA